CCAAAUUGGGCAUGCGACGAAGGAACGUCCAUCCCCUGUCAACAUUCUGCAUCCCGGGGCACAACUAGAGCCGUACACCUGACCAUCAACGCCUUGUCUUCAUCGUCGAGGUUGGGGGACGGAUCCAGCCACAAUGGUCCACCGAACACCCGGAAGGGUAUCUGGCGGAAACAAAUGAUUGAGGAAAACAAUACCGUCAGUAGGAAUGAAACACAGAAAACCUUACCUCGCCCAAGGCUUAUCGCACUUGGAGCAAACACUGAAGAGGUUUAUCAGCGUGCGGUUCGAUGCACAAGCAUGGAGCCCGCCAGCCAAAAAAACC
RNAcentral lists this unclassified non-coding RNA (322 nucleotides) under Atriplex acutibractea subsp. karoniensis. RNAcentral describes it as "partial external transcribed spacer". The record is from RNAcentral. Lineage: Eukaryota; Viridiplantae; Streptophyta; Magnoliopsida; Caryophyllales; Amaranthaceae.